CCAAUAGCGUAUAUUAAAGUUGUUGCAGUUAAAAAGCUCGUAGUUGAAUUUCGGGGUUUGUCCAUUGGUCGGGCUUUAUUGUCCGUACUGGUGUGAUGAAUUCCUACCUUCUGAAUAACCUUCAUGCCAUUAAUUUGGUGCGUUGGGGAAGCAGAGCUGUUACCUUGAAAAAAUUAGAGUGCUUAAAGCAGGCAAGUGCCUGAAUACAUUAGCAUGGAAUAAUGAAAUAGGACGGCAUGGUUCUAUUUUGUUGGUUUCUAGGAUCACCGUAAUGAUUAAUAGGGAUAGUUGGGGGCAUUAGUAUUCAAUUGUCAGAGGUGAAAUUCUUGGAUUUAUUGAAGACUAACUUCUGCGAAAGCAUUUGCCAAGGAUGUUUUCAUUAAUCAAGAACGAAAGUUAGGGGAUCGAAGACGAUCAGAUACCGUCGUAGUCUUAACCAUAAACUAUGCCGACUAGGGAUCGGACGAUGUUAAUUUUUUAAUGACUCGUUCGGCGCCUUACG
RNAcentral lists this ribosomal RNA (502 nucleotides) under uncultured Glomeromycotina. RNAcentral describes it as "partial small subunit ribosomal RNA". It matches the Rfam family "Eukaryotic small subunit ribosomal RNA", at positions 591 to 1092 of the family's 1831-position model. The record is from RNAcentral. Lineage: Eukaryota; Fungi; Glomeromycota.